GUACCAAUACCUGAAGGAAUGGUGCUUAAUCAAAGUCUGAAUGAUCUGGAUGCCAUAUGUGGUGACUUUGAGUUGCAUAUACCUACUUCUUUCUCCCUUGGAAGAUCAAUUUCCUCCGAAAAGGAUGAUGUUACCAUGUCUGAUCGGCAAAGUAAGGAAGAAUUUGAAUCAACUGAAUCAACAUCUCCUUUCUCCCUUGGAAGAUCAAUUUCCCCCGAAAAGGAUGAUGUUACCAUGUCUGAUCGGCAAAGUAAGGAAGAAUUUGAAUCAACUGAAUCAACAUCUCUUCUUGCAGAGCA
This 299-nucleotide long non-coding RNA is filed under the name Nicotiana benthamiana. Its description in RNAcentral is "long non-coding RNA (NBEN_LNC020756)". Lineage: Eukaryota; Viridiplantae; Streptophyta; Magnoliopsida; Solanales; Solanaceae. The record is from RNAcentral.